GCCUAGGUGGCUUAUUCGAAGAGCAUGUGACUCUCGACCUCACGGUUGUGGGUUCAAGCCCCACAUUGGGUG
This 72-nucleotide transfer RNA is filed under the name Felis catus (domestic cat). It matches the Rfam family "tRNA". Rfam says of the family: Transfer RNA (tRNA) molecules are approximately 80 nucleotides in length. The record is from Rfam by way of RNAcentral. Lineage: Eukaryota; Metazoa; Chordata; Mammalia; Carnivora; Felidae.